Molecule: long non-coding RNA, 686 nt
Filed under: Nicotiana tabacum (common tobacco)
Lineage: Eukaryota; Viridiplantae; Streptophyta; Magnoliopsida; Solanales; Solanaceae
Description: long non-coding RNA (NTAB_LNC018125)
Source: RNAcentral
UGCAUAGAGGUGCAUUUCCUUCUGCUACCCAGUUUUGGGGACAUUUAUUAUUUUACAUAUAUCUUGACAUGUAGGCAUAAAGAAGUACUUUCCUCAUGCUAUCUGAAAAUGAAACAUCUUACUCGUUGUUGAAAGGAUUUUGGAAAAAAUCACAGUUUUCAAACUUACUCGUAUUUUUGCUUUUUCGGUAAAAGAUUUGGAUUUUCAGUGAGAUACUUGAAAAGAAAUGCCUAUUUUUCUGGAUUUGUGAACAAACUGAGCCUUUUAUUUCUAAGAUACUCUUUUGUUAUUGUACUAUGUUGUUAUGAACUAUUGUGAAAUAUUGGUGUUGGACCUGACCUUUUUGUUAGCGCGUUACUACUUUCAACCUAAGGUUAUGUUUGUUACUUAUUGAGUACAUAGGGCCGGUUAUACUCAUACUACACUUCUGGACCUUGCGUGCAGAUGUUGGCCAUUGACGUUGUUGUGUUCGUUGGGAGCUGGAUCUAAAGAUGUACCUGCGUUCCAGUUGUAGCUGCCUCUUGUUCGUGGUAGCCUUAGAACUAUAAAACUCUGUUUAUGUACUUUUCAAACAGAUGAUGUAUUUACUUCAUUUCAUCUUUGAAAACUCUAUUCUUAGAAGCUCAUGAUUUGUACUACCAGUUCUUGGGGAAUGAAUAAGAUUUAGAUUUUUCUUUACUUAAAUU